Molecule: ribosomal RNA, 244 nt
Filed under: uncultured fungus
Lineage: Eukaryota; Fungi
Description: partial small subunit ribosomal RNA
Rfam family: Eukaryotic small subunit ribosomal RNA
Source: RNAcentral
UUAGCGAUAACGAACGAGACCGCCGCUUAAAUUAAGCCAGGCUAGCUUUGGCUGGUCGCCGGCUUCUUAGAGAGACUUCUGCUCAAGCAGAAGGAAGUAGGCGUCAAUAACAGGUCUGUGAUGCCCUUAGAUGUUCUGGGCCGCACGCGCGCUACACUGACAGAGCCAACGAGUUUCUUCCUUGUCCGAAAGGUCUGGGUAAUCUUGUUAAACUCUGUCGUGCUGGGGAUAGAGCAUUGCAAUC